Gorilla gorilla gorilla (western lowland gorilla) is the source of this 2125-nucleotide long non-coding RNA. RefSeq lists it as uncharacterized. The record is from RefSeq and is a predicted model, not a curated record. NCBI's taxonomy places the organism in Eukaryota, Metazoa, Chordata, Mammalia, Primates, Hominidae. The transcript is spliced from 6 exons.
CGGGUAACGCAGUGGGAGGUGAAACCGACGAGGGUGCAGGCAGCACCAGGCGGCGAACCAGGCCCGCUGGGUGGUGGCUGGAGGCUGCAGGUGGGGACAAAAGCGCGGCAGACGAGACAAAAGGGAGCGCACUCACCAGAACCACUCGCUACCGAAGCUGGGCACGGAAAACACUCCCCAGUGGAUGAAGAUGCCGAACUUGGCCUGGUCAAACCACGCGGGCAGCUGGCGGGCGUCCAGGGACUCCCAGGUGGGGUCGAAGCGCGUGGCGCUGUGGGCAGGGCACGGCGGCGGUGGCAGCAGCAGCAGCAGCAGCAACAGCAGCAGCGGGAACGCGAGCCUGGGGAGCUCCUGGGGCCGCAUGUCCCGGCGCAGGCCGGCUGUCCUCUCUGCGGGCUCCCGCGGCCUCCGGAGCGCUGUUCUUCCGUUUCUGCCGCUGAGUAUGCCGCGCCGCGGUCACCUGACCAAGCCGGACUUGGAAACCGGCCACCCUUCCCCCUCUGGGGCGGGAGUGGCCACUCUCCCGGGCGUUCCGAAUGACCUCAGGAGGGCUGCAUCGCUCAGCAUAACUAAGGAGGCCAGCAUUACCCCAAAGCCAGCUGCGACGGCUUUGCUAAGGCUCUGUCCUCUAGAGGGGAAAAUAUGAGUCUGAGUCAGGGCCCUGUGGCCAGCGCCUCUGCCCUCAAGCAGACACGACCCUGACCAAGAAACUGCCCAAGAGGACAACGCCACCAGCCCACCCUGGUGGCUGCUCCACACGUCCGAAGCGUGGACGAGAAGGUCAAGGCAGGAACUUCAGCCGGGUCUCGCCAUGAUGGAACAUGGAAAGCAACCUAGAUCCUUCUCGGCCUCUGUAUCAGCUCCCAAGAUCCUGCAUGUUAGAACCGUGGUUGUCAACCUUGAAUUUGUAUCAGAUGAAAUUCCAAGAGCUUCAGAUUCAGCAGUUAGAGACAGGGUUUCACCAUGUUGGACAAGCUGGUCUCAAACUCUUGACCUCAGGUGAUCUGCCCGCCUUGGCCUCCCAAAGUGCUAGAAUUACAGGCAUGAGCCACCAAGCCCAGCCUCUCCUCCACCUCUUAAAGAGUGGUAAUCAGAUCUGUAUGGAUGCCACUUGGGUCAUUUGUCAUUUCACUUGAAGGCAAAGAAAUGUUUUUAACUGGGAUAUGAUUAGCUGCCGAGGUGGAGCUGAUAUCUGAGCGAGGCUCUCGAGGACACAUUCUGGAUAGAUCUCCAUAUGGGAGUUGGAUGACUGCCACCAGCCAGUCUUGGCAGUCCCCAGAAUUCUUCUGAAGUGGACAGUGGAAGAAGUGAAACAUUUGCCUGGCAGCUGGCAUCAAUGCAGUCUCUCUCUGGACAUGCAGAAGAAAAGGUUCAAAAGGAACUGAACCCAAUCCAGUCUUUAUUUGAUUUUAGAUGGAAUUAAAACAUUUUUGUGGGUCUCGACAAGUAUUGCCAGCACUGCACCUGCCACCCUGAUAGAGAUGGGGACUUGCUAUACUGCCCAGGCUGGACGUGAACUCUUUGCCUCAAAGGAUCCUCCCAUCUCAGCCUCUCAAAAUACUGGGACUGCAGGUGUGAGCCACCAUGCCCGGCCUGUAUUUGGACAGUUGUUGCAGCACCGUGCUUAGCCUAUAUUUGGACAGUUUUUGCAGCAAAGAUGGAAUAAUCAUAUCUUCCCUACAGAGUUCCUGUGAGAAUUAUAAGUGAAAGCCCUUUUAAAUGAUCAAGGGUGAGCUGUGUGUGUGUGUGUGUGUGUGUGUGUGUGUGUGUGUGUGUGUAUCAUGACCUAGUUGCUACUAAGGCCUUUGUGCAUAUCGGUGUGCUUCUGCAGCAUGUACUCCUGGUUUUUGUUCCUCUUUUCUCUUACCUUCUUGAUUAGGUUUGUUCUCUUAUUAAAUGAUAUAAUACGUGCAAAAUGCCUGACAUAGCACCUAGAAUCGGGGUGUGUGUGUUAACAGGAGUAAUUGCCAGCGCUGUCCCUUCUUUCCCCCCGUAUCUCCAUCUCUUCUCACUGGCUAUGUAUGGUCUGUGGGUGAACCAACGGACAUUCCUCCUUUGCCAUGAACUUUCAGAGGACUGAUGACUCCUGAGCCUGACUUACAGUCUUUUAAUUCUGGGCGAGUCA